This 593-nucleotide ribosomal RNA is filed under the name uncultured fungus. Its description in RNAcentral is "eukaryotic LSU rRNA". The stretch from base 172 to 325 matches the Rfam family "5.8S ribosomal RNA". Lineage: Eukaryota; Fungi. The record is from RNAcentral.
UCCGUAGGUGAACCUGCGGAAGGAUCAUUAAACAAAAGUACUAGGGAAUGACCUAGGUACUUCACCCAUGUUUUUUACGCACCCAAAGUUUCCUUGGCGGCUCCGGCCGCCAGUUGGACAACAAUCAAACCCUUGUAGUUGCAGUCAGCGUCGAAUAAACAUAAUAAUUAAAACUUUCAACAACGGAUCUCUUGGUUCUGGCAUCGAUGAAGAACGCAGCGAAAUGCGAUAAGUAAUGCGAAUUGCAGAAUCCGUGAGUCAUCGAAUCUUUGAACGCACAUUGCGCCCCUUGGUUAUGCCGAGGGGCAUGCCUGUUCGAGCGUCAUUAUCACCUCUCAAGCCCAGGCUUGGUGUUGGACUUCUAGGUAGUUACCCACACUACCGGUCUCAAAAUCAGUGACGGCGUCCCAGAGGGAACCGGGUACGAGGAGCUUCUAAUCGGGCAUGUACUUGGGACGACUCUGAGGCGACGGUCUUAACCCACAUUUUUCAAGUGUUGACCUCGGAUCAGGUAGGAAUACCCGCUGAACUUAAGCAUAUCAAUAAGCGGAGGGAAGUCGGACUGGCCAAGGGGCACACCAGGGGGGGGGAUA